GAUGAACGCUGGCGGCGUGCCUAAUACAUGCAAGUCGAGCGAACGGACGAGAAGCUUGCUUCUCUGAUGUUAGCGGCGGACGGGUGAGUAACACGUGGAUAACCUACCUAUAAGACUGGGAUAACUUCGGGAAACCGUAGCUAAUACCGGAUAAUAUUUUGAACCGCAUGGUUCAAAAGUGAAAGACGGUCUUGCUGUCACAUAUAGAUGGAUCCGCGCUGCAUUAGCUAGUUGGUAAGGUAACGGCUUACCAAGGCAACGAUGCAUAGCCGACCUGAGGGGGUGAUCGGCCACACUGGAACUGAGACACGGUCCAGACUCCUACGGGAGGCAGCAGUAGGGAAUCUUCCGCAAUGGGCGAAAGCCUGACGGAGCAACGCCGCGUGAGUGAUGAAGGUCUUCGGAUCGUAAAACUCUGUUAUUAGGGAAGAACAUAUGUGUAAGUAACUGUGCACAUCUUGACGGUACCUAAUCAGAAAGCCACGGCUAACUACGUG
RNAcentral lists this ribosomal RNA (497 nucleotides) under uncultured bacterium. RNAcentral describes it as "partial 16S ribosomal RNA". It matches the Rfam family "Bacterial small subunit ribosomal RNA", at positions 28 to 507 of the family's 1533-position model. The record is from RNAcentral.